RNAcentral lists this ribosomal RNA (253 nucleotides) under uncultured bacterium. Its description in RNAcentral is "partial 16S ribosomal RNA". It matches the Rfam family "Bacterial small subunit ribosomal RNA", at positions 524 to 776 of the family's 1533-position model. The record is from RNAcentral.
UACGGAGGGUGCGAGCGUUGUCCGGAAUCACUGGGCGUAAAGGGCGCGUAGGUGGCGCGAGGAGUCUGUGGUGAAAGCCCGAGGCUCAACUUCGGGUCGGCCGCGGAUACUCUCGUGCUGGAGGGUGGUAGAGGCCAAUGGAAUUCCGGGUGUAGCGGUGGAAUGCGUAGAGAUCCGGAAGAACACCGGUGGCGAAGGCGGCCGGCUGGGGGCGCCCUGACGCUGAGGCGCGAGAGCGUGGGGAGCAAACCGG